AGUUUCCAUUUGACGAAAACGGAAAUCCAGUGUAUGAGCUUAAUGAUAAGAACUGGAAAUCCUUUUUCUCAAGGACGUGGUC
Molecule: microRNA precursor, 82 nt
Filed under: Human papillomavirus 16
Lineage: Floreoviria; Shotokuvirae; Cossaviricota; Papovaviricetes; Zurhausenvirales; Papillomaviridae
Description: Human papillomavirus type 16 HPV16-miR-H1
Source: RNAcentral